CCCGGCGAAAGUCGGCUCCCGCAAGGGCAUCUGUCGAGGUGCUGCAUGGCUGUCGUCAGCUCGUGUCGUGAGAUGUUGGGUUAAGUCCCGCAACGAGCGCAACCCUUGUCCUCUGUUGCCAUCACGUUAUGGUGGGCACUCUGAGGAGACUGCCGGUGACAAACCGGAGGAAGGUGGGGAUGACGUCAAGUCAGCAUGGCCUUUAUGUCUGGGGCUACACACGUGCUACAAUGGCCGGUACAAACCGUCGCGAUCUCGUAAGAGGGAGCUAAUCGGAGAAAGCCGGUCUCAGUUCGGAUUGCAGGCUGCAACUCGCCUGCAUGAAGUUGGAAUCGCUAGUAAUCGCGGAUCAGCACGCCGCGGUGAAUACGUUCCCGGGCCUUGUACACACCGCCCGUCACAUCACGAAAGCUGGCUGUACUAGAAGUCGCUGCGCUAACCCGCAAGGGAGGCAGGCGCCUAAGGUAUGGUUAGUGAUUGGGGUGAAGUCGUAACAAGGUAGGCGUAGCGAG
Molecule: ribosomal RNA, 512 nt
Filed under: uncultured bacterium
Lineage: Bacteria
Description: bacterial SSU rRNA
Rfam family: Bacterial small subunit ribosomal RNA
Source: RNAcentral